CCUGGCUCAGAGUGAACGCUGGCGGUAGGCCUAACACAUGCAAGUCGAACGGCAGCACAGGAGAGCUUGCUCUCUGGGUGGCGAGUGGCGGACGGGUGAGGAAUACAUCGGAAUCUACUCUGUCGUGGGGGAUAACGUAGGGAAACUUACGCUAAUACCGCAUACGACCUACGGGUGAAAGCAGGGGACCUUCGGGCCUUGCGCGAUUGAAUGAGCCGAUGUCGGAUUAGCUAGUUGGCGGGGUAAAGGCCCACCAAGGCGACGAUCCGUAGCUGGUCUGAGAGGAUGAUCAGCCACACUGGAACUGAGACACGGUCCAGACUCCUACGGGAGGCAGCAGUGGGGAAUAUUGGACAAUGGGCGCAAGCCUGAUCCAGCCAUACCGCGUGGGUGAAGAAGGCCUUCGGGUUGUAAAGCCCUUUUGUUGGGAAAGAAAUCCAGCUGGCUAAUACCCGGUUGGGAUGACGGUACCCAAAG
This 477-nucleotide ribosomal RNA is filed under the name Stenotrophomonas maltophilia. RNAcentral describes it as "bacterial SSU rRNA". It matches the Rfam family "Bacterial small subunit ribosomal RNA", at positions 18 to 484 of the family's 1533-position model. The record is from RNAcentral. Lineage: Bacteria; Pseudomonadati; Pseudomonadota; Gammaproteobacteria; Lysobacterales; Lysobacteraceae.